Mesoplodon densirostris (Blainville's beaked whale) is the source of this 1443-nucleotide long non-coding RNA. RefSeq lists it as uncharacterized. The transcript has 4 exons. The record is from RefSeq and is a predicted model, not a curated record. NCBI's taxonomy places the organism in Eukaryota, Metazoa, Chordata, Mammalia, Artiodactyla, Ziphiidae.
UCCCGCAGGGUGCGCGGGGCCGCCGGGGAGAGCUGGGCGUCCGGCCGUGCUCCGAGGUAGGCGCCCGCUCCCGGCUGCAGGGCGGCUGGCGUCGGGAAGGAGCCGCUGUCUGAGCUGCGCCCCCGCCGCGGAGACCCGCUGUCCUCCCGCUUCCCCGAGAACCCGCGCGAGAGCCCCGGCGCAGCGCGAGGUCCGGCCCCCGCCUCGCCGUGGGCGCAAAGUUCAGAGGACCCCGCGGGAUCCCGCCUAGAGGCUCAGACUCUUCGUUUGUUUCCCGCUGCUCAGCUUAUAGUGACCAAUGCCCAGGGGCCCAAGAGCGGCGUGGGCCCUAGCGCCCGGGCUCGGCGGGGGAACUUGACCCUGGCACGCAGAGAGCAGGACCGCCGGACGCCCGGAGAGACAAGAGCCACCCGGGAGUGGCCUGGAAGGGCAUGUGAUGGGGUAAACUGUACACUCAGAUGAGAUGCCCAUUAUGAGACAUGGAAUCUUCUUUGAAACAAUUGGAUUUAUUUAUUUCAGCUGCGCCAGGUCUUAGUUGCAGCACGUGGGAUCUUCGCUGUGGCAUGUUUAGUCGCAGCAUGCAGACUCUUAGUUGCAGCAUGCAUGUGGGAUCUAGUUUGGCGACCGAGGAUCGAACCGGGUCCCCUGCAUUGGGAGUGCAGUCUUACCCCCUGGACCACCAGGAAGUAGUAUAAAAAGCACUCCGGGGCUUCCCUGGUGGCGCAGUGGUUGAGAAUCUGCCUGCUAAUGCAGGGAACACGGGUUCGAGCCUUGGUCUGGGAGGAUCCCACAUGCCGCGGAGCAACUAGGCCCGUGAGCCACAACUACUGAGCCUGCGCGUCUGGAGCCUGUGCUGCGCAACAAGAGAGGCCGCGAUAGUGAGAGGCCGGCGCACCGCGAUGAAGAGUGGCCCCCGCUUGCCACAGCUAGAGAAAGCCCUCGCACAGAAACGGAGACCCAACACAGCAAAAAUAAAUUAAUUAAUUAAUAAACUCCUACCCCCAACAUCUUAAAAAAAAAGAAAAGCACUCUGUGUCUGAGAGAUCCUGGUGAUUUGACCUUGGACAAAUAACUUAAUUACUUCUAGUCUGUUUCCGUAACUGUAAAUGGAGCCAACAAUACCUGGUAAAGAUAUUACAGGUGUGAGGAUGAGAUGAUAUAUGAGAUCAUGUUUUGUAAACAAUAAAGCAAGGGUAACCAGAAAUUAGUUAUAGAAUACCGGUUAUAUAAUACCAGAAAUUAUUUUAUAUAAUACUCUCCUAACAUUUCCUGCCUAUGUCCCUGUCUGUAAAAUGGGUACAGAUCUAGGUCCAAAAGCCUGUGAACUUGAGCAAGUCAUUUCCCUUCUGGACGUGUGUUUCCUAGCAAGGUUAUUAUUACAUUAUGAACAUCAAAUGAUAUCGUGUAUGUAAAUGCUGUGACAGGCAUAUAUCAAGAACGCAA